Molecule: ribosomal RNA, 445 nt
Filed under: uncultured organism
Description: partial 16S ribosomal RNA
Rfam family: Bacterial small subunit ribosomal RNA
Source: RNAcentral
CACUCCUGCGGGAGGCAGCAGUGGGGAAUAUUGGACAAUGGGCGAAAGCCUGAUCCAGCAAUGCCGCGUGAGUGAUGAAGGCCUUAGGGUUGUAAAGCUCUUUUACCCGGGAUGAUAAUGACAGUACCGGGAGAAUAAGCCCCGGCUAACUCCGUGCCAGCAGCCGCGGUAAUACGGAGGGGGCUAGCGUUGUUCGGAAUUACUGGGCGUAAAGCGCGCGUAGGCGGCUUUGUAAGUUAGAGGUGAAAGCCCGGAGCUCAACUUCGGAAUUGCCUUUAAGACUGCAUCGCUAGAAUCGUGGAGAGGUGAGUGGAAUUCCGAGUGUAGAGGUGAAAUUCGUAGAUAUUCGGAAGAACACCAGUGGCGAAGGCGACUCACUGGACACGUAUUGACGCUGAGGUGCGAAAGCGUGGGGAGCAAACAGGAUUAGAUACCCCAGUAGUCC